UGGAAAUCUUUUAUUGUUAUCAUUCCAGGGAUCCUGCUUGACUGCUGCUCUCUGCAGCCCAGAGGUUCCAUGCCUGGGCUGUGCUCACAGGGCUCCUAACCGUGGCUUUCCAUGGGGGAACAGUGCAAGAUAGUUGGUAAAAGAGAGAAAUCAGAUGAAACUUGUUAAUUUGGCCCCUGCUUGUGGAGUGGGUGCUGUGAGGGAUGGAGGAUGCUGUGGGGCAGGAGCAGGCUUUGGGACAGGAACCAGCAGCACUUUCAGUGUUCCCUCAGCCAGGAUCAGGCCUGGGAGCUGCCGUGGGAUAAAACCAUCCCAGCAGAAGCAAGUUCUUUGUGCAUGUGAGUGUUUUGCCCGCUAGUUUGGUGCUGGUUCUAUGGUGGCAGGAGGAUGGGGCUGGGACAGAGCCUGCUCGCUUUGUCACCUCACAGAGCAGCACUCUCCCCUGCCUUCAUCGGGGGGCAGCAGCACCUCUCCCUGCACCCCUCAACCAACCCACCCCCCCCAAAUCCCCACCAUUCCCAGAUGGAUGCCCCUUGGGAGCAGGUCACAGGCUGGGUUUCGGGACCACGUGCUCUCACAUAGGGAUGCUCAGAGAACUCCCAGCCAGGGGUGACACUCGUGGCAGCUCAGCCAUCAGCCGUGGGGCUCCAUAGGGUCAUGACUGCUGGGUAUCCCCCUGGAAAAUCAAUCCCACCCAAGCACAGGGAUGUUUGCCGGGAGCCAGGCUGGGGUUUGCACUCCACUGAGCACUGUCCCAGUGUGGAACUGGUGAGUUCCUCCCCGGUCUCUGUGCUGAAGAGGAGCACGGGAGCUGGACAACCUUCAUCCCCCGGUGCUGACGGCUGGCCGCAGGCCCGGUGGCUUGGAAGCGCCUUUGGAAGCCAAAUCCCAGUGUCAGAAAUCUGGGAUAUUUUUAAGGGCUCUGGAAGAAAAACUUAAUUCCAGGGGUGUCAGCAGGAGAGACUUGGCCUUCAAAACAACAACAGCGCAGACGGAGCCUUCCCAGGGCUGGAGUGUGGGGCCCAGGGGCCACGGUGCUGCCCAUGGGAUGUGUCCCAUCACCCUGGAAGGGACCUGGAUGCCGCAGCCCACCCAGGACAUGGUUUUCAUGACCAGCAGCAACUUUUGCUGUGUUAAGCACAAGUUGUUUGUGGCUUUACCUGAGCACUGCUGGGGCUGCCCCAAAAUCCCCUUCCUGGAGGUGUGUGGCGCAUGGCCAGUUGCCAUCCACAGCAAUGGGAAAAGCGGGAAGCAAAGGGAAUCACUGGCAGGAGAUGGAGCAGGGCAUGGCAGGGACCCAAUGGCUGUGAUAUCCCCUUGCUGUGCCAUGGCUCUGGGGGACCCAGUGGUGGCCUGUGCCCCCCUGGGUGAGGACAGAGCUGAUG
This 1385-nucleotide long non-coding RNA is filed under the name Strigops habroptila (Kakapo). RNAcentral's name for it is "lncRNA (ENSSHBG00005006309.1)". The record is from RNAcentral. Lineage: Eukaryota; Metazoa; Chordata; Aves; Psittaciformes; Psittacidae.